RNAcentral lists this long non-coding RNA (322 nucleotides) under Apteryx owenii (little spotted kiwi). Its description in RNAcentral is "lncRNA (ENSAOWG00000007198.1)". Lineage: Eukaryota; Metazoa; Chordata; Aves; Apterygiformes; Apterygidae. The record is from RNAcentral.
GUGUGGGGUCCCUUGCACCCCUCAGGGUCGGGUCCGGGCCCCCCCGGGCCGGGUUCAGAGCAGGCUCCAGCUCUGCCCGUCGUGGUCCCACGCGGUGCUGGGUCUCCGUGCCGCCUGCCCCUGCCACCCCACGGCCGCAGCGGGGACACGUCCGCCUGCCGCCUGCCCCGCGUCCCAGCUCGGCUGGAGAUGGUGCUGCGCGCUCUGUGUUGGUCUAACCUGGAAGGCUGAGGAGCAACCGCGUGCGUGGUGGGCCAUGCUCUGGUCAGUGCCUGCCAGACCAAGGCACAUAGCUGCACACAGUUUCCAGGCAUCAAACUAG